This 71-nucleotide transfer RNA is filed under the name Myxococcales bacterium. Its description in RNAcentral is "tRNA-Thr". It matches the Rfam family "tRNA". Rfam says of the family: Transfer RNA (tRNA) molecules are approximately 80 nucleotides in length. Their secondary structure includes four short double-helical elements and three loops (D, anti-codon, and T loops). Lineage: Bacteria; Pseudomonadati; Myxococcota; Myxococcia; Myxococcales. The record is from RNAcentral.
GCCAGAGUAGCCUAGUGGCCAGGCGACUGGUUUGUACCCAGUUGACGGGGGUUCGAUUCCCUCCUCUGGCU